RNAcentral lists this long non-coding RNA (7979 nucleotides) under Sus scrofa (pig). Its description in RNAcentral is "lncRNA (ENSSSCG00005011515.1)". The record is from RNAcentral. Lineage: Eukaryota; Metazoa; Chordata; Mammalia; Artiodactyla; Suidae.
GGGCAAAGGUCGCGCUUCCGCUUUAAAUCGCGAGUGGUUGCUAGGGGCGCUCGGAGCUGAAGGCAGGUGCUGAGAGUUCGCUUUUUGGAGAAUGUGUGACCACGUCCCAAGGUUGGCAACUGGGAGAACUUGUAUAGAAAGUUGAGCUGACUGAACCCUUGGCUGGAUAGACUCCUCGCCGACUCCCGCAAUCCCCGCCAGUCUCUCUUCGCCCUCUACCCUACCGGCGUUUCGCAAGAUCCCUGGCUCGUCCCGCUCCGGCGCGGAUUUCCUCCAGGGCUCGACGUGAGAGCCCUAACUCCAAAGUGAUGAUGAAGAAGAGACACCAGAGAGUGCUCUCCCCUACCUGCCCCCUACCCGACAAGGACAGGGUGAGAACGAGAAGGUGGCUAUCUGCAAAUCAGGAAAAGGGAUCUCACCAGAACCUGAAUGUACGGGUACUCUGAUCUCAGACUUCUAGCCCCUAGAACUGCGAAGUAAGUGUCUGUGGUUUAAGCCACCCAGUCUAUGGCAUUUAGUUAUAGUGGCCCAAGCUAGGACAGACCUUAUGGUAAGCCCCAGAGGAAAAAUCACAGUGAGGUCCCUGGGACUGGAGCAAAGCCAUUGCACCUGCAGCAGAGAAGUAUAUACAUUUGAAGAACCAGCUACUGGUUAAAAAAAAAAAAAAAAAAGAACCGGCUACUGGUGUGAUACUGGGCCUUGGUAGAGAAUAAACGCUUAACCAUGGGACGCCAAGUAAGCAUGUGUUCAGAACUGCCUCUCAUGGCCCGGAUUCUUUUGGUUCCAAGGACCCAGCAGCAUCUAUUGUAAGAUGGAAAUGGUACCUCUGAGAUGGAGCUCAGGCACAGUUGAGGUACUUGUAAGUUGUAUGACCAGGUAGUCCAGACCCCCGUGUCACCCCCCGCUGCUGCAGCACUACCAUGACCAGCUGAAGGAAGAAGGGUAAAUCCUGAGUUUGGUUUGUGGAUGAGUCAGCUUAGUAUGUGGGUGUAAGCCAAAAUUAGACAGUGACGGCCUUAUAGCCACAUUCUUGAGAGGCUUUGAAAAACAGCGGAAAGGAAAAAAUCUUCUUAAUGAGUAGAGUUACAAGCAUUGUCCCUGGUCAUCUACUUUGUGUAUAAGGAGAAGCAGACUGAACUAAGAAUAUGUAUAAAUAUAGAUUCUUGGGCAGGGGUCAAUGGCCUAGCCCCCUGGUAGGACACCUGGAAGGAAAGGGACUGGAAGAUCAAAGGCAGGAAACUCUGGGGUAGAGUCUUAAGGGUGAAUAUACGGGAGUGGGCAUGAAAUGUGAAGAUUUUUGUAUCAUGUUUUUGUACCCACCAGGGAGGAAGUACUAAACAAUGAAGUAGUCAGAAUGACUCGUCUAAUUGGGUCAACAGGCUCAAGCACUGGCUACUUGGAACCAGCCUAAUGGGCACUGUAGAGGGUUAUAUUGUAUCCCCCCCCAAAGUUUAUAUGCUCAAUUUCUAAUCUCCAGUACCGCAAAAUGUGCCCUUAUUUGUACAUAGGGUUGUUGCAGAUGUAAUUAGUUAUGGUGACAUCAUACCAGAGUAGGCGGGCCCCUAAUCCAGUGUAACUAGCCUCCUAAUAAGUAGAAGGCCGUGUGAAGACAGAGAUACAUGGAGGGAAGGCCAUGCGAAGAUAAGAACAGAGACUAGGCCCAUGUAGGAGAAGCCAAGGAAUGCAAAGAUUGCCAGCAAACCACCAAAAGCUGGGAGAGAGGCAUAGAACAAGUUUUCCCUCACAGGCCUGAGAAGGAACUAAGCCUGCUAACACCUUGAUCUCAGACUUCUAGCCUCUAGAACUGUGAGACAAUAAGUUUCUGCUCUUUAAAUCACCAAAUUUAUGGUACCUUGUGAAGGCAAUUCUAAGAAACUAAUACAGGCACUAUAAAUGGAGCGGCCACAGUGGCAGAGAUAGAGGCUAUGGAUAGAUCCCAAAAGCAUGGACUCCAGCUUUUUAAGGCUGAUCUAGCUACUGAUGCCUAAAUGUCCAGCAUGUCAGCAAUAGAGACUGCGGCUGAGUCCCAUUAUGGAACUAUUACUCAAGGAGACAAAUGGCUACUUGGUGACAAGUUGACGACAUUGGGUCUCUUCCAUCCCGGAGGGGCCCCUGUUGCAUUCUCACAGUAAUAGGUAACUAAUUCUGGGUAUGGGUUUUCCUUUCUACCAACAGAUCCCCAGCUCACAGUACAGUACUGGGGCGUGUGGAAUGUCUGAUCCGCAGGUGUAGAACCCUGCAUAACCAAGAAUUCAACUGGGACAACAGCUUUAGAGUAAAAGAGGGAGAGAGUGGACCUGUGACCUCAUACCACACCAACCAGAAAAGGCUGACCUCAAAAAGAGCUAGAAUAGUUUUCUAAAGGUUCAAGUGAAAUACCAUUCAGAGACAACUCUGAAAAAACUGGGUACUAUCAUUCAGGAUAUGUUAUACAAAUUAAAUCAGAGGACAUUUGGAAGCCAAUAGGAAAAAUAGAUGAGUCCACUAACAAAGGAGUGAAUGCAGGAAUAGCUCCAUUUACCUUCACUACCAAUGACCCACCAGAGGAUCUUGUGCUCCUUAGACCCACAAAGCUGUGAUCUGUGCCAGAUACUGCUCCCCAGAGGGAUUGCACUCCCUGUGUUAAGGGGCACAGCAAAGAUCCCAGCAGCUAUGACUGCUGCUGAGGCACUUUAGACUCAUUAUUCUGGGGGCCAGUAGGUGAAAACUCACCAUCAUGACAAGGAUAACUGAGCCUAAUGGGUAGGAGAAGGUAGCACUGCCUUUUACAGAAUCCAUGUGACUCACUUGGGUGUCUCCUGAUACUCUCUUGCCCCAUUGCAACUAUGAACAUAUGCAGUGACUCUGACCUGAGAAGUGUUUGGUUACCAGCAGCUCAGUUCCCGCAGGAAUAAAGGUCUGGCUAAUACUAUCACAUAAGACCUCAAGAUCUGCUAAGAUGAUAAGUGAGGGUGUGGGGAAUUUAGACGGAAUAGUAGAAAAGGGAGAAAAUGAAUAUCAAUUGUGGCCUCCAGACCAGGUGCUGUAGUUCAUUCUACUUAUCUUUCUCUUUUUUUUUUUUUUUUUUUUUUUUUUUUUUGUCUUUUUAGGGCCAUAUCCACAGCAUAUGGAGGUUCCCAGGCUAGAGGUUGAAUCCAAGCUGUAGCCGCUGGCCUACCCUACAGCCACAGCAACACCAGAUCCAAGCUGUGUCUGUGACCUACACCACAGAUCAUGGCAACACCAGAUCCUUAACCCAUAGAGUGAGGCUAGGGAUCGAACCUGCGUCCUCAUGGAUGCUAGUCAGAUUCAUUUCCACUGAACCACGACAGAACUCCUCAUUCCACUAAUCUUUCUUUUCUAAGUUUCUUUUUAGGAGGAGAGGCCCAUGAAAGAGCUUCUUCCCAAACUGGUAGAUCUGUGAGGCGAAGGAGUGGACUGCAGUGUUUCUAAAAAUGGGCCACUGGAUUUCCUGCUGUGCAGAGUGUAGUCAGUUGAUGGCUCCAGUUACUGAGGCCACACUUCCCACACCAUAUUCCUAACUAAUGACUGAGCAUGCGGAGUAAUAACGCAGCUCAUUCCUUCAAGACUUGGGGCUCCCCCAAUGGACCACUUUGGCUAGAGGGAGCUAUUCUUCAGAUUCAGAGUUCAGAGGGAAAUUUAAAGACAGGAGAUUUAUGCAAAGAAAACUUUUAUAGAAAUUAAAGAUAAAAUCAGAAAUUGAUGAAACAGAAAGGAGAAAAUCAACAAAGCCAAAAUUUUAGUAACAUUCAGAAAGAUUAAAAAGAAAAUCAACUCUUAGCAAGACUGCUCAAGGAAAACUUUAAGAAAACACAUUACCAAUAUCAGCAAUAAAAAGGACAUCUCUGGGAGUUUGGGCCUAGCGGUUAAAGAUCCAGUGUUGUCACUGCGUGGCUUGGGUUCGAUCCCUGGCUUAGGAACUUCCACAUGCCUCGGCAUGGCCAAAAAAAAGAGGACAUCACCACAGGUCCUAUAGACAUUAAAAAUAUAAGAAAAUAUCAGGGGCUACAACUUUAUACCAAUAAAAUUGGCAACCUAGAUGAAGUGAAAAAUUUUAUUGAAAAAUAAAACUUGAAACUGAAAUAAUAAUAAUUCUGUAUUUUAAAGGAAUUGAAUUCAUAAUUUAAAACUUUUCUACAAAGAAAACUCCAGAUGGCUUCACUGGUGAAUUCUCUCCAACAUAUAUAUUUCUUUUAGAAAGGCAUAAAAGGCGUAUUCACACUUUCUGAUGCUUAUAUAUCACGCACUCUAUUUGUGCGUUAACUUCCCCCUGCUCCAUGCCUCAUUCAUUUAGCACAUUACGUUAGGAGUCGUAGGUAAAAAGAUGAAUAACGUUUUUGGCAGCAGGAGCUUUCAGAUUGGUGGAAGAAGCAGCCAUGUAAUGUAAAUGCCAUGAAAUAGGUGCUAAUAAAGAUUUUUAUAAAGUACUGUGAGAGAUGGGUGUGAAUCCAGGGAAGGAAAGGCUUUACAGGCAGGAGAAGUGAAACAGUGUGCCAUGUGCUGUAGGCAUAAAAAUAACUGGGAAACAGAGGACAUCCUUUCCCGGUCUUCCUUCCUGGAUCUUCUCCCCUCACAUUUUCAGUACCUCAGGGUUCUUCCUUGACUUCUGUUUUUCAGUCUCCUCCGUUUCAAACACUCUCACAUUCGUCCCUUUCAGAUAUAACUUAAUCAUUCCAAAAUAUGUUAUCUCCAGCCUCCAGCUCUCUCUUGAGCUCCAGGCCUAAGUAUUUAAAUAUCCAGAGAACUCCCCUACUCAAGCGCUUUGUUUCACUCUUGUUCUCCUCUCUUCCCUGCAUCACCAGUCUUCUCUCCCUUCUUGGAAGAGCCCUCCCUUGAUGGCAUGUGCCUCUUCAGCUACUACUAUACUACUUUUCUUCUCCCCUUUAUAUCAUCAUCUCCCUUUCUUUCUACUGUAUCUUAACCUUUUAUGAUACUUAAAAACCUUUCAUGGGUCUUUUAUCCCCAAUAUUCUGCUGAGAUGACCCUUAUCAAGGUCAUCAAUAACCAUCAUGUCGCCAAAUCCAGUUCUCAACUCCUUUGACCUAACGGCAGCAUUGAAGCCGUUGCUCAUGUCCUCCUCUUGAAAGACUUCUACCUGGCUUCACCCGCUGCUGAUUUCCUUCUCACCUCACUGGACGCUCCUUCUUAGUCUCUUGGUCGGAUCUUCUCUCUCAUCACAGCCAUUAAGUAUUAGAGUAUUCUGUUGUUCCAUCCUUGGGCUUCUGCUCAGUUUUUACUUACAAUCAUCUUAGAACUCUUAACCAGUUCUAGCAUCUUAAAUGCCAUUGUAUAAUUCCAAAAAUGUAUAUCUAUAUACUUGACCCCGCCCCUGAACUCCAGACUCAUAUCUCCAGUAGCUACUCUCAUUGGAUGUCUAACAGUAUUCCAAACUAAACAUGUCUAAAAGCAAACUCUAUCAAACCUAAUUCCCUUCAGUCUUCUCCAUCUCAUAAAUGGCUCUAUGAUUCAGUCUGUUGCUCAGGCCAGAAGUGUUGGAGUCAUUGUCAACGUCUCUCUUUUUCUGUUACCCUCAUUCAGUCCAUUAGCACAUUGCAUCAGCUCUGCCUUCAAAAUGUAUCUCAAGUCUGGGAGUUCCUGCUGUGACACAGUGGGUUAAGAAUCUGACUGCGUGGCCCUGGUUGCUGCGGCGGCACAGGCUCAACCCCUGGCCCAGCGCAUUGGAUUAAAGGGUCUGGCAUUGCCACAUCUGUGGCAUAGGUCACAGCUGUGCCUCCAAUUCGAUCCCUGAUGGAUAUAUAUCAAGUAUAUAUAUGCUUGAUAUAUAUAUCAAGUCUGAUCAGUUCUCACCAACUUCUCUCACCUAGACCCCUUCUUCCUAACUGGCUGCCCAGCUUUUACACUUCCCCCACUACAGUCUUUGGGGAGUGAUCUUCUACAGUGUAAGUGAGGACAUACCACUCCUGUGUUCAAAAACCCUCCAAUGAUUCACAUCACACUUAAGAUAAAACCCAGAGUUUUCCCCCAUGGUCUACGAAGACUUGUGAUCUGGCAUCUUGCUCUACUCUGACCUUAGCUUCUUCCAUUCUUCCCCUCCUUUAGUCUGUGCUUCUAUCACGCUAGUCUCCUUGUCAUUCCUGAAACAUAUGACAAGCACAUUCCCUGCACUGGACAUCUGCACUUCCUCUUGACUCUGUCUGGACUACUCUUUCUCCAGGUAUUCACACGGCUCAUUUCCUCUCUGUUCAGAGGGUACCCCUUCAUGGGUACCACUUCAUCUAAAAUAACUUUCUCCUUUAUUUGCUGUGAUUUUACUCUGCUCUAUUUUCUUUCAUAGCUUGUAGCAUUACAGAGAUCAUAUCGUGUGUGCAUUUGUUUGUUGGAAAUGUGUUAUCUGCUUUCCACAGUAGAAUGUGAACUCCACAGGGGCAAGGAAUUCAUCUGUUUUGUUCAGUCACCAAAUCCUAUCAGUUCUACCCCUUAAAAUAUUUUCAGUCCAUCUUCGUCUCCGUUAUCACUACCUUUGCCUUAAUUCAGUUGCCAUCAUCACUUGCUAGGACUAUUAUUGUAUUUUCCUACUUGACUAUCUGCCUUCACCUUCUAUUGAGACCUUUCUCUCACAUGACUACCAAUUCGAUAGCACUAUAGUUAAUAUGUAUUCAUGUCUCUCCUACAUAGAAUCCUUUAUAGGGUACACGCCCUUUGCAUAUUGGGUUAAGUUCAAGCCCCUCAGCACAGCAUCCAAGUCAUCUCCUGCCACCUUUACUUUUACUCUCCAGCAGCACCAAACUGCUUAAAUAGCCUCAUGUCCUUGCCUCUGUUCUUGGGACAUACUGGUUCUUCUAUUUAGAUGCCCUUUCCCGACUCAGAGAUAGAUAAAUAUUUCUUCCUUUGGCUGUACUUCCAUUGCAUUCAUUAUACUGCGAUGGAUUUUUUUUUUUUUCUUACAUGUAGGUCUCUUAUUACAAUGAUCUCUUGGGGGGAGAGAGUUCUAUCUUGUUGAGGUUGCAGCUCCUGUCACACAGUAAUGGGUAGAUGGAGAUGGGAGUAGGGCGUGGAGAAUGUUCAAAGUAGAAAGGACUGCGUGUGUAAUCACUCUGAAGCAUGAGGGGGCUCGGCAUCUUCAGAAAAGAGAGAAGGACUGUGUGACUGAUCUAGUAAGGGGGAGAGUGGCGGGAGGCAAACUGGAAAGACUCUGGGAACCAGAUCAUGCAAGGCCCUUGUCGAACAUGCAAAAGAUGUUGAAUUGUGAGAAAAUGAGAAAUGGAAAGUCUCAAAAAAGCUUUAAGGAGAAAAAGAUGAAGUUUGCAUAAAAAAAAAAAGCACUUUGCUUGCUUUGUAAACAGUAGAUUGAAAGAUAUCAAGAAUGACCAGUGAGGGACCUGCUGGGCACUAUUGUAAUAGUCCAGGCAGAAAGAGAUGAUGCCUUGGCCUGGGCUUUAGCUGUGGGGAUGGUGAGAAGUAAAUAGAUUCAAGUUAUAUCUUGGAGAUAAACUGGAUCAGGUUUAGUGAUAGAAUAAAUGAGGGCGUGAGGAAGGUAGAUAACAUAACUGCUGAAAUGCAGCUGAUUUGCCAGAGGAGGGUCAAAGAAGAAGUAGCUAAGUUUCGAGAAGUUAAGUUUGAGAUGCUUGAGUACGAGACAUGUAAAGGGAUGUGCCAAAAAGGCAGUUGAAUAUGGAGGUAUGAAUUUCAGAAGUGUAACUGAGCUGGAAAAAAAACUGUCAUGAGUACACAGACUGUGUAUAAAUCAUAAGAGAACCUAAGGAGAGAUCACAGUAUAAAGAGAAGAUUAUGGAGGAUGCAUAAUUGAGAAGAAAUUCAUUGGAUUGGAGGAAAUGAGGCAGGAAACUGAGAGGGCCACAUGGACUUUAUAACUGCCCAGGGGGUGGCAGAAGUUGACAGGAAACUUGGAUCCCGCAUUGCUGUGCCUGUGGUGUAAGCCAGCAGCUACAGCUCCAAUUCGACUCCUAGCCUGGGAACCUCCCUAUGCCAGGGGUGAGGCCUGAAAAAAAAAAAAAAAA